Thalassophryne amazonica is the source of this 1763-nucleotide long non-coding RNA. RefSeq lists it as uncharacterized. The transcript is spliced from 4 exons. NCBI's taxonomy places the organism in Eukaryota, Metazoa, Chordata, Actinopteri, Batrachoidiformes, Batrachoididae. The record is from RefSeq and is a predicted model, not a curated record.
CAGAACACAUUCAACAUGUCCGUCUAGUGUUAAGACGUCUCCCAUAGAAUAGCCUCUUCGUCAAAGCCGAAAAAUGUGCCUUCCAUCAAACUUCCGUGUCCUUUCUAUGAUUCGUAUUUCAGCACAACCAGAUUAGACCAGAUCCAGCCAAAGUCUCUGCCGUGGUGAAGUGGCCACCUCCCUCCAGUCGCAAACAAAUUCAACAGUUCCUAGGAUUUGCCUAUUUUUACUGUUGUUUCAUCCGUAACUUUAGUCUAGUAGCUGCUCCUCUCCAUAAACUCACUUCUUCCAAGUACGGUUUUCAUUGGUCCCCUGAAGCCGAACGAGCUUUUCAGUCCCUUAAACAUAGCUUUACCACCACUUCUGUCCUUAUCCAAUCUGAUCCGGACCGCCAGUUCAUCGUGGAGUUCGACGCCUCCGACAUCGGGGCCAUUCUCUCCCAGCGGACUGAGGGUGACAGCCUAUUGCACCCUUGGGCAUUUUUUUCACGACGGCUCUCUCCCGCUGAGUGCAAAUACGAUGAUGGUGACCGGGAACUCUUGGCCGUGAAGGAGGCGCUGGAGGAGUGGAGACAUUGGCUGGAAGUUUGCUCCUGAGGACUACUCCCCUACACCGGACUGCAUCCUUCCCAGCCACAUGAUUGUAGGCGCCCCCACCUGGGACAUUGAGCGAGUCAUCCAGGAGGCCCAAAGAACUCAUCCCAAUCCUGGAGGGGGACCUCCCAGCCGCCUUUUUGUGCCCCCCUCAGCCAGAUCUGACGUCCUACAGUUUGUUCAUUCCUCCAAAUUCUCCUGUCAUCCCGGCAUUCAUAGAACCAUACACCUUGCUCAGUAGCAUUUCUGGUGGCCCUCUCUCCAGGCAGACACCCGUGAGUUUGUCAGUGCCUGUACCAUCUGCGCCUGAAAUAAAUCAUAUCACCAACAGCCACCUGGUCUUCUUCAUCCGCUUCCUACUCCUGGCUGACCACGGUCCCACAUCUGCCUGGAUUUCGUCACUGGAUUGACUCCCUCAAGCGGAAACACAGUCAUCCUCACCAUCCUGCACCGGUUUUCAAAGGCAGUACACUUUCUGGCCCUGCCCAAGUUACUUUCGGCAAUGGAGACUGCGAACCUCAUGGUCCACCAUGUAUUCCGGCUGCAUGGCAUUCCCCUGGACAUCGUGUCUGACCGAGGGCCCCAGUUUACAUUUCAGGUCUGGAAGGCCUUCUGUGCUGCCUUAGGGGCUUCGGUCAGUCUCUUGUCCGGAUUCCAUCCCCAGACCAACGGGCAGGCGGAGCGGGCCAACCAGGAAUUGGAAGCUGCCCUUCACUGUGUUGCAUCCUCCCACCCAUCUUCCCUUUGAGUGCAUACCUAUCAUGGGUGGAGCAUGCUCAUAAUUCUCAGUCCAGGCCCAUCUGCAGCAUUGUCAACGAGUCUGGCGGACCGCCCCCUCCGCCCUUCUCUGGACGACAGAGAGGACUGUUCGCCAUGCAGACCGGCAUCGUGCCCCGGCCCCCCAAUACCGGCUUGGUCAGGAAGUCUGGUUGUCCGCCAAAGAUGUGCCUCUUAAGGCGGCUGCUAGGAAGCUGGCUCCUCGUCUAUUCCAGCACCUUGUGCCCUCCGGCCGUUCCCCCACCUACCCCCCAGACUGUGGAUAGCCAUCCUGCCUGGACGGUGAGCCACAUCCUCGACGUUCGUCGCCGGGGCUGUGGCUUCCAGUAUCUGGUGGACUGGGAGGGGUAUGGCCCUGAGGAGUGUUCCUGGGUCUCGCUGGGCCUUAUUUUG